ACUCCUACGGGAGGCAGCAGUGGGGAAUAUUGCACAAUGGGCGCAAGCCUGAUGCAGCCAUGCCGCGUGUGUGAAGAAGGCCUUCGGGUUGUAAAGCACUUUCAGUUGUGAGGAAGGUGGUGUCGUUAAUAGCGGCAUCAUUUGACGUUAGCAACAGAAGAAGCACCGGCUAACUCCGUGCCAGCAGCCGCGGUAAUACGGAGGGGUGCGAGCGUUAAUCGGAAUUACUGGGCGUAAAGCGCAUGCAGGUGGUUUGUUAAGUCAGAUGUGAAAGCCCGGGGCUCAACCUCGGAACUGCAUUUGAAACUGGCAGACUAGAGUACUGUAGAGGGGGUAGGAAUUUCAGGUGUAGCGGUGAAAUGCGUAGAGAUCUGAA
This 376-nucleotide ribosomal RNA is filed under the name uncultured bacterium. Its description in RNAcentral is "bacterial SSU rRNA". It matches the Rfam family "Bacterial small subunit ribosomal RNA", at positions 335 to 702 of the family's 1533-position model. The record is from RNAcentral.